AGAAUAAUAAAGCAGGUCAGAAGUUAUAUUAGCCUUGAGGUUGAACAUGUUUAUUAGCCUAAUAUUCUUCGAUGUUUGUCUUUCUUUUUAUUAUGUAUACCUUAAAAAUUAAAUAUUAACUUAAAAUACUAAUAUUAUUGCUAUUAUUUAUGGUGCACUUACAGAAUAUAAUCUAUGUUUCAGCAAAAUGGAAGUACUCCUAUCCUAAUUUUCAAAUUACAAUUCAUAACCUUUCUUUUU
This 240-nucleotide long non-coding RNA is filed under the name Capsicum annuum. Its description in RNAcentral is "long non-coding RNA (CANN_LNC017747)". The record is from RNAcentral. Lineage: Eukaryota; Viridiplantae; Streptophyta; Magnoliopsida; Solanales; Solanaceae.